GAUGAACGCUGGCGGCGUGCCUAAUACAUGCAAGUCGAGCGAACAGACGAGGAGCUUGCUCCUCUGACGUUAGCGGCGGACGGGUGAGUAACACGUGGAUAACCUACCUAUAAGACUGGGAUAACUUCGGGAAACCGGAGCUAAUACCGGAUAAUAUAUUGAACCGCAUGGUUCAAUAGUGAAAGACGGUUUUGCUGUCACUUAUAGAUGGAUCCGCGCCGCAUUAGCUAGUUGGUAAGGUAACGGCUUACCAAGGCAACGAUGCGUAGCCGACCUGAGAGGGGGGUCGGCCACACUGGAACUGAGAAACGGUCCAGACUCCUACGGGAGGCAGCAGUAGGGAAUCUUCCGGAAUGGGCGAAAGCCUGACGGAGCAACGCCGCGUGAGUGAUGAAGGUCUUCGGAUCGUAAAACUCUGUUAUUAGGGAAGAACAAAUGUGUAAGUAACUAUGCACGUCUUGACGGUACCUAAUCAGAAAGCCACGGCUAACUACGUG
This 497-nucleotide ribosomal RNA is filed under the name uncultured bacterium. RNAcentral describes it as "partial 16S ribosomal RNA". It matches the Rfam family "Bacterial small subunit ribosomal RNA", at positions 28 to 507 of the family's 1533-position model. The record is from RNAcentral.